This 412-nucleotide ribosomal RNA is filed under the name uncultured bacterium. RNAcentral describes it as "bacterial SSU rRNA". It matches the Rfam family "Bacterial small subunit ribosomal RNA", at positions 366 to 792 of the family's 1533-position model. The record is from RNAcentral.
CCGCAAUGGGCGAAAGCCUGACGGAGCAAGACCGCGUGGGGGAAGAAGGCUCUUGGGUUGUAAACUCCUUUUCUCUGGGAAGAACAAAAUGACGGUACCAGAGGAAUCAGCAUCGGCUAACUCCGUGCCAGCAGCCGCGGUAAGACGGAGGAUGCAAGCGUUAUCCGGAAUGAUUGGGCGUAAAGCGUCCGCAGGUGGCAGUUCAAGUCUGCUGUCAAAGACCGGGGCUUAACCUCGGAAAGGCAGUGGAAACUGAACAGCUAGAGUAUGGUAGGGGCAAAGGGAAUUCCUGGUGUAGCGGUGAAAUGCGUAGAGAUCAGGAAGAACAUCGGUGGCGAAGGCGCUUUGCUGGACCAUAACUGACACUCAGGGACGAAAGCUAGGGGAGCGAAUGGGAUUAGAUACCCCUGUA